UUCUACCAGGGGCGCACGGCAAUGGUACCACAACUCUGGUUUUAUGUUGUAUAAGUCUGAGUGGUUAACACACAAACAAGUUAAAACUUUCAACAACGGAUCUCUUGGUUCUCGCAUCGAUGAAGAACGCAGCGAAAUGCGAUAAGUAGUGUGAAUUGCAGAAUUCAGUGAAUCAUCGAAUCUUUGAACGCACAUUGCGCCUCCUGGUAUUCCGGGAGGCAUGCCUGUUCGAGCGUCAUCAAACACAUCCUCAAGCAUUUUUGCUUGGUCCUGGAGGAAGAUGGUCUCUUCGACUAUCCCCUCUGGAAUUCCUCAGCAGAGACCACAGCAGCCUCAGGUGUGAUAAUUCUACCUCGCUUGAGUGUUACUGUGGGCUCCCGCUGGAGAACAGCCCCCCAGCUUUUAUCAUGUUUGACCUCGGAUCAGGUAGGGAUACCCGCUGAACUUAAGCAUAUCAAUAAGCGGAGGAAAAGAAACCAACAGGGAUUGCCUUAGUAACUGCGAGUGAAGCGGCAAAAGCUCAAAUUUGAAAUCUGGUACCAUUCGGUGCUCGAGUUGUAAUUUGGAGAGGCAACUUCGGAGAGGGCGUUGGCCUAAGUUCCUUGGAACAGGACGUCAUAGAGGGUGAGAAUCCCGUGCUUGGCUGACUGUCCCUCUUCAUGUGAAGUGUCUUCGACGAGUCGAGUUGUUUGGGAAUGCAGCUCAAAAUGGGUGGUAAACUCCAUCUAAGGCUAAAUAUUGGCGAGAGACCGAUAGCGCACAAGUAGAGUGAUCGAAAGAUGAAAAGCACUUUGAAAAGAGAGUUAAAAAGUACGUGAAAUUGUUGAAAGGGAAGCGCUUGAGACCAGACUCGGUGAUAGGUGAUCAGCGGUUGCUUUUGCUCCGUGCACUUGCCUUUUACCGGGCCAGCAUCAGUUACAGCGGUGGGAUAAAGGCUCAGGGAAUGUGGCUCCCUUCGGGGAGUGUUAUAGCCCUGGGUGCAAUGCC
RNAcentral lists this ribosomal RNA (987 nucleotides) under Pezizomycetes sp. genotype 34. RNAcentral describes it as "eukaryotic LSU rRNA". The stretch from base 413 to 987 matches the Rfam family "Eukaryotic large subunit ribosomal RNA", at positions 1 to 577 of the family's 3401-position model. Lineage: Eukaryota; Fungi; Ascomycota; Pezizomycetes. The record is from RNAcentral.